UGGGGAAUAUUGCACAAUGGGCGCAAGCCUGAUGCAGCCAUGCCGCGUGUAUGAAGAAGGCCUUCGGGUUGUAAAGUACUUUCAGCGGGGAGGAAGGGAGUAAAGUUAAUACCUUUGCUCAUUGACGUUACCCGCAGAAGAAGCACCGGCUAACUCCGUGCCAGCAGCCGCGGUAAUACGGUGGGUGCAAGCGUUAAUCGGAAUUACUGGUCGUAAAGCGCACUCAGGCGGUUUGUUAAGUCAGAUGUGAAAUCCCAGGGCUAAACCUGGGAACUGCGUAUGAUAAUGGCAAGGUGGAGUGUCGUAGAGGGGGGGAGGAGUCGAGGUGUAGGGGUGAAAUGCGUAGAGAGCAGGAGGAAUACCGGUGGCGAAGGCGGCCACCAGGACGAAGUCUGAAGCUCAGGUGCGAAAGCGUGGGGAGCAAACAGG
Molecule: ribosomal RNA, 429 nt
Filed under: Chloroflexota bacterium
Lineage: Bacteria; Bacillati; Chloroflexota
Description: Chloroflexi bacterium partial 16S ribosomal RNA
Rfam family: Bacterial small subunit ribosomal RNA
Source: RNAcentral